AAAUUUCUUCUCAACCAAUGCCAUAGGUUUUAUGCCACCGGGGUUAUGAUGGUGCUGCAGCAGAUGUCUGGUCAUGUGGAGUCAUCCUUUAUGUUUUAAUGGCUGGGUAUCUUCCAUUUGAUGACAUAGACCUUCCGACCUUGUACCAAAAGAUAAAUGUUGCUGAAUUUUCGUGUCCAAUUUGGUUUUCUCCUGGUGCAAAGUCCUUGAUACAUAAGAUCCUUGAUCCCAACCCAGAGAUU
Molecule: non-coding RNA, 242 nt
Organism: Camellia sinensis
Lineage: Eukaryota; Viridiplantae; Streptophyta; Magnoliopsida; Ericales; Theaceae
Source: RefSeq, a predicted model, not a curated record